UUCCUCUGUGCUGAUGUUCCUUCCCCCUUGAUGCGACGGCGUUCCUUCCCCCUUGAUUCAUCGGCGUUCUGCCGUGGGCAAGCUUGUGCUGCACGAUGGCAUCCGCGACGGUCCGGUCCACCCGUCCUCUACUCUUCCUUGGUAGUCCCUUCCUUGCUGUUUUUCAUUUCCCGUCUUGCAGCGUUCGUCCAUGGCGGCCGACCGCUCCGUCGGUGUCCUUCCUUGGUUUUCCUCUGUUUCAUUCGGGAUUGUCUGAGGGGUUCAUGUUCGAGAUGACCAGGUGCGGAUGGGAUGGCAAAGUUUCCAAGAGGCCUUCAUACAGAUUCUAAUUCCAGUUUAGCUACAACAAGAAAAACAUAGUUGUUGCUUCAUGGGGAACAUGCGAGAGAAGGAUGUGGAGGCGACGGCUCUGGCCUUCUCGAUGUCCAGAUCGAGAAAACAACGAUUGGACCGCCGGCUUCAGUAGCUUUGUAGUGAUACUCAAGGCGUUGGCACAUUGUCGUGAAAUCCACUGUGAACUGAAAAAAGAUAAAUGUCUUCUGCUUUGGACUUCACCGACAAAAGAAUCAUUCAAUGCACACAAUUCAAUUGACUGUUAUAUGAGACUUUUCGUUAGUCUAGCUGUAUGUGCAAGAGAUAAUGUAAUUAUUAUUUCCUGAUUUAUUUAUUCAUAAGAUGCACGUAAUUGUGUGCAUUAUGUAUGAUAUGUUUUUUCAUUGGA
Molecule: RNA transcript, 721 nt
Organism: Triticum dicoccoides
Lineage: Eukaryota; Viridiplantae; Streptophyta; Magnoliopsida; Poales; Poaceae
Exons: 3
Source: RefSeq, a predicted model, not a curated record